RNAcentral lists this ribosomal RNA (253 nucleotides) under uncultured bacterium. RNAcentral describes it as "partial 16S ribosomal RNA". It matches the Rfam family "Bacterial small subunit ribosomal RNA", at positions 524 to 776 of the family's 1533-position model. The record is from RNAcentral.
UACGUAGGGUCCGAGCGUUGUCCGGAAUUACUGGGCGUAAAGAGCUCGUAGGUGGUUUGUCGCGUUGUCCGUGAAAACUCACAGCUUAACUGUGGGCGUGCGGGCGAUACGGGCAGACUGGAGUACUGCAGGGGAGACUGGAAUUCCUGGUGUAGCGGUGGAAUGCGCAGAUAUCAGGAGGAACACCGGUGGCGAAGGCGGGUCUCUGGGCAGUAACUGACGCUGAGGAGCGAAAGCAUGGGUAGCGAACAGG